UGGGGAAGUAAUGAUCUGGAGUAUUGGUAGUACAAGGAACAGGUGAUUGACAAGGAGAGGAAGACAGUCAGCAGAACAUUCUGGAAUGUACAGUGGUUAUUGUGGUAGGUGAGCAGGUAUGACAAGGAACAACUUACAGCUUAUUCUAGAGAGACAAAAGAACAACAGUGUGAAUAACAGAGGCAUACCUGGACAUUUCAAUAGACUGCUUGCUGUCUGUAGAAGACUGGUAAGCAGUUGCUGUCUGAC
This is a long non-coding RNA of Orbicella faveolata, 249 nucleotides long. The record is from RefSeq and is a predicted model, not a curated record. Lineage: Eukaryota; Metazoa; Cnidaria; Anthozoa; Scleractinia; Merulinidae.